This 1038-nucleotide ribosomal RNA is filed under the name Didymellaceae sp. RNAcentral's name for it is "SSU rRNA". The record is from RNAcentral. Lineage: Eukaryota; Fungi; Ascomycota; Dothideomycetes; Pleosporales; Didymellaceae.
AGCAUUAUACCGUGAAACUGCGAAUGGCUCAUUAAAUCAGUUAUCGUUUAUUUGAUAGUACCUUACUACUUGGAUAACCGUGGUAAUUCUAGAGCUAAUACAUGCUGAAAACCCCAACUUCGGGAGGGGUGUAUUUAUUAGAUAAAAAACCAACGCCCUUSGGGGCUUCUUGGUGAUUCAUGAUAACUUCACGGAUCGCAUGNGCCUUGCGNCCGGCGACGGUUCAUUCAAAUUUCUGCCCUAUCAACUUUCGAUGGUAAGGUAUUGGCUUACCAUGGUUUCAACGGGUAACGGGGAAUUAGGGUUCGAUUCCGGAGAGGGAGCCUGAGAAACGGCUACCACAUCCAAGGAAGGCAGCAGGCGCGCAAAUUACCCAAUCCCGACACGGGGAGGUAGUGACAAUAAAUACUGAUACAGGGCUCUUUUGGGUCUUGUAAUUGGAAUGAGUACAAUUUAAACCUCUUAACGAGGAACAAUUGGAGGGCAAGUCUGGUGCCAGCAGCCGCGGUAAUUCCAGCUCCAAUAGCGUAUAUUAAAGUUGUUGCAGUUAAAAAGCUCGUAGUUGAAACUUGGGCCUGGCUGGCAGGUCCGCCUCACCGCGUGUACUUGUCCGGCCGGGCCUUUCCUUCUGGAGAACCUCAUGCCCUUCACUGGGUGUGUUGGGGAACCAGGACUUUUACUUUGAAAAAAUUAGAGUGUUCAAAGCAGGCCUUUGCUCGAAUACGUUAGCAUGGAAUAAUAGAAUAGGACGUGCGGUCCUAUUUUGUUGGUUUCUAGGACCGCCGUAAUGAUUAAUANGGGACAGUCNGGGGGCAUCAGUAUUCAAUUGUCAGAGGUGNAAAUUCUUGGNAUUUAUUGAAGACUAACUACUGCGAAAGCAUUUGCCAAGGAUGUUUUCAUUAAUCAGUGAACGAAAGUUAGGGGAUCGAAGACGAUCAGAUACCGUCGUAGUCUUAACCGUAAACUAUGCCGACUAGGGAUCGGGCGAUGUUCUUUUUCUGACUCGCUCGGCACCUUACGAGAAAUCAAAGUUUUUGG